AACGAACGCUGGCGGCAUGCCUAAUACAUGCAAGUCGAACGAACGUAGCAAUACGUGAGUGGCGGACGGGUGAGUAACACGUGGGAACCUGCCCAGCGGUGGGGAACAACCGAGGGAAACUUCGGCUAAUACCGCAUACGCCCUUACGGGGAAAGACUUAUCGCCGUUGGAGGGGCCCGCGUCCGAUUAGCUAGUUGGUGAGGUAACGGCUCACCAAGGCGACGAUCGGUAACUGGUCUGAGAGGACGACCAGUCACACUGGGACUGAGACACGGCCCAGACUCCUACGGGAGGCAGCAGUAGGGAAUAUUGGACAAUGGGGGAAACCCUGAUCCAGCAAUGCCGCGUGAGUGAUGAAGGCCUUAGGGUUGUAAAGCUCUUUCGCCCACGACGAUGAUGACGGUAGUGGGAGAAGAAGCCCCGGCUAACUUCGUGCCAGCAGCCGCAGUAA
Molecule: ribosomal RNA, 451 nt
Filed under: uncultured bacterium
Lineage: Bacteria
Description: partial 16S ribosomal RNA
Rfam family: Bacterial small subunit ribosomal RNA
Source: RNAcentral